AGUGAACGCUGGCGGUAGGCCUAACACAUGCAAGUCGAACGGCAGCACAGUAAGAGCUUGCUCUUACGGGUGGCGAGUGGCGGACGGGUGAGGAAUACAUCGGAAUCUACUUUUUCGUGGGGGAUAACGUAGGGAAACUUACGCUAAUACCGCAUACGACCUACGGGUGAAAGCAGGGGAUCUUCGGACCUUGCGCGAUUGAAUGAGCCGAUGUCGGAUUAGCUAGUUGGCGGGGUAAAGGCCCACCAAGGCGACGAUCCGUAGCUGGUCUGAGAGGAUGAUCAGCCACACUGGAACUGAGACACGGUCCAGACUCCUACGGGAGGCAGCAGUGGGGAAUAUUGGACAAUGGGCGCAAGCCUGAUCCAGCCAUACCGGGUGGGUGAAGAAGGCCUUCGGGUUGUAAAGCCCUUUUGUUGGGAAAGAAAAGCAGCAGGUUAAUACCCCGCUGUUCUGACGGUACCAAAAGAAUAAGCACCGGCUAACUUCGU
Molecule: ribosomal RNA, 491 nt
Filed under: uncultured bacterium
Lineage: Bacteria
Description: partial 16S ribosomal RNA
Rfam family: Bacterial small subunit ribosomal RNA
Source: RNAcentral